This 462-nucleotide ribosomal RNA is filed under the name uncultured bacterium. RNAcentral's name for it is "bacterial SSU rRNA". It matches the Rfam family "Bacterial small subunit ribosomal RNA", at positions 28 to 498 of the family's 1533-position model. The record is from RNAcentral.
GAUGAACGCUGGCGGCGUGCUUAACACAUGCAAGUCGAACGGGAUCCCAGGAGCUUGCUCCUGGGUGAGAGUGGCGAACGGGUGAGUAAUGCGUGACCGACCUGCCCCAUACACCGGAAUAGCUCCUGGAAACGGGUGGUAAUGCCGGAUGCUCCAGUUGGAUGCAUGUCCUUCUGGGAAAGAUUCAUCGGUAUGGGAUGGGGUCGCGUCCUAUCAGCUUGAUGGCGGGGUAACGGCCCACCAUGGCUUCGACGGGUAGCCGGCCUGAGAGGGCGACCGGCCACAUUGGGACUGAGAUACGGCCCAGACUCCUACGGGAGGCAGCAGUGGGGAAUAUUGCACAAUGGGCGCAAGCCUGAUGCAGCGACGCCGCGUGCGGGAUGACGGCCUUCGGGUUGUAAACCGCUUUUGACUGGGAGCAAGCCCUUCGGGGUGAGUGUACCUUUCGAAUAAGCACCGGCU